AUUUUUAUGUGCUCCUCCAGGAUUUGUCACUUUAGUAGGUAUUUAGUAGGUAUAGUAUAUAACUUUACCUAUAUAGCAGUAUAUUUAGUAGGUGCCAACAUGUAUUUGUAUUUGUUGCCUAGAUAUAGUGGAGAGAUCGCUGCUAAUGUAUUUUCAAGAACUAACAGAAAGACCAACCAUGUUUCUGCUAUUACUGUCGAAAAGUUAUAACAGUAUCCACAAUCCAUAACAAAUAAUAACUCAAUUAUUUGGGGAAUUUAAAAGCAUUCUGGGAAGCAUUUAGUUACAGGAUCAAUCUUUUUCUAUACUUAACAAGUUUAAAUGAGAAUGAGGCCAGACUUUCUAUGGAUGUGUCUUUACUGGAUAGUAAGUUAUAUCUGCUCUGGAAUAUUUCUUAGCACUGAGACAGUUAACAUAUCUUACAAGUAAACAAUUACAUUUUUGGUAAAUGUUUUGAUUUUUUAUCAUGAUGCCAGCUUUUUUCUUUGGCUUGUGGUUUGUCAGCAGUUUGGAAUCCUUUUUCUGGAAUCCUAGAUCUUCUCUGUCACCCCUUGUUUCAAAGAAGCAAACGGAUGGCUGGAAAGGAAAUGGUCUCAUCAGCAUCAUUGCUCCAAAGAUUUGUUCUGCCAAAGAUGCCCCCCCACCUCCCACCUUGGGAAUCCAUUAGUGCUGUUCUGACAUUAACCUUGGAGGCACUGCAAGGAACCUCAGCUCGGGGAAGAAAGUCUCCCAGGAUGCUCUGCCCAUUCUCUGUCCCCUCAGUUCCAAAGAUACUGUAUACCCCCAACAUCUUCUUCCCCAGGUUUAUAUGUAAAUGUCCCCAGUUUUACCUUGAAACUCUCCUAUAGCUGUUUUUAUUUUUUUUAUAUUUUGGUUAUUCAUUGUAUGUUUCUGCCCUUAUAAGUAUUGAGCAGUCUCUUUCCCUUCAGGAGGUCAAAGUGAAUUUGCUAUACUCUUACCUGUCAGAGCUUUUUCUGAGAUUACAUCUCUCGCUUUAAGGUUGCCAUCUGCCAAUUGAACAAAUGUGUAUUUUUACCAGUGAAAACAAAUGACAUUCUCACUAAGACAAAACCCUUUGUCCCCAUAGGCCAAAGGUAAACAAUCUACAAGACUGAGAUCUAUUUCUGUUUAAAAAAAAUUCUUCAGAGUUUUCUAAUAUUUGUGGUCAUUUCACUUGGUUAAAGUUCUAUGAAUUUUAUAUUUGCAUUAUUCUUUCAAUGUGUGCAGUAUCCAGAUACUUCUAAAAGUGGUAGAAUAAAAAAUUGUUUUCUUGUUCUGAGUGGCCCUUU
Molecule: long non-coding RNA, 1289 nt
Filed under: Felis catus (domestic cat)
Lineage: Eukaryota; Metazoa; Chordata; Mammalia; Carnivora; Felidae
Description: lncRNA (ENSFCAG00000051086.1)
Source: RNAcentral